AGGGGUGUAGCGAAGUGGAUUAACGCGUUGAUUUCCGGAGUCAAAGAUCGUGGGUUCGAUCCCCACCUCCCCUG
Circinella umbellata is the source of this 74-nucleotide non-coding RNA. The record is from the annotation of a GenBank genome assembly. Lineage: Eukaryota; Fungi; Mucoromycota; Mucoromycetes; Mucorales; Lichtheimiaceae.